GUGGGGAAUAUUGGACAAUGGGCGAAAGCCUGAUCCAGCCAUGCCGCGUGUGUGAAGAAGGUCUUCGGAUUGUAAAGCACUUUAAGUUGGGAGGAAGGGCAGUAAGUUAAUACCUUGCUGUUUUGAUGUUACCGACAGAAUAAGCACCGGCUAACUUCGUGCCAGCAGCCGCGGUAAUACGAAGGGUGCAAGCGUUAAUCGGAAUUACUGGGCGUAAAGCGCGCGUAGGUGGUUUUGUAAGUUGGAAGUGAAAUCCCCGGGCUCAACCUGGGAACUGCCUCCAAAACUGCAUGACUAGAGUAAGGUAGAGGGUAGUGGAAUUUCCUGUGUAGCGGUGAAAUGCGUAGAUAUAGGAAGGAACACCAGUGGCGAAGGCGAAUACCUGGACUGAUACUGACACUGAGGUGCGAAAGCGUGGGGAGCAAACAGGAUUAGAAACCCUAGUAGUCC
RNAcentral lists this ribosomal RNA (450 nucleotides) under uncultured bacterium. Its description in RNAcentral is "bacterial SSU rRNA". It matches the Rfam family "Bacterial small subunit ribosomal RNA", at positions 354 to 796 of the family's 1533-position model. The record is from RNAcentral.